AAGGUUUCACUAUAAAUUUAAGUUUGUGAAAAGACAUCAUUCAGGGAUUCAGUAAGGACGUAUAGGUUACACUUACUUCUCAGGAAUGGACAGCAAGACCGUCAUGUUUGUAUUUUGCGUUUUGUUGGCAGUUAGUUUCAUGUCCGAAACAGAGGCAGAUUACGGGCUUUACCCAGACAAUAAUGGGAAGAGAUCACUGAAAUUAAGUGAUGUCCGAAGGAAUAUCAGGAGCAUAUGCGCUACCAUGAACGAUGUUUGCCAAAGGGAAAGAGACGAACUGCAGGAUUUUAAUCAGUUAAAGAUGUAAAUACAUUGCUGGUUGAGUUAAACCGAUUACUACAUUUAAACGUGUUUACUGAUUGCAGAAUGAGUUAAGCUCACUACAACAUUUCAGAGGUUACAGUCGAAACCCAAUUGUAAAAUCAAUAAAUUGUGAACAAAUA
This is a long non-coding RNA of Stylophora pistillata, 443 nucleotides long. RefSeq lists it as uncharacterized. The record is from RefSeq and is a predicted model, not a curated record. NCBI's taxonomy places the organism in Eukaryota, Metazoa, Cnidaria, Anthozoa, Scleractinia, Pocilloporidae.